CCUACGGGGGGCAGCAGUAGGGAAUCUUCCACAAUGGGCGCAAGCCUGAUGGAGCAACACCGCGUGAGUGAAGAAGGGUUUCGGCUCGUAAAGCUCUGUUGUUAAAGAAGAACACGUAUGAGAGUAACUGUUCAUACGUUGACGGUAUUUAACCAGAAAGUCACGGCUAACUACGUGCCAGCAGCCGCGGUAAUACGUAGGUGGCAAGCGUUGUCCGGAUUUAUUGGGCGUAAAGCGAGCGCAGGCGGUUUUUUAAGUCU
Molecule: ribosomal RNA, 260 nt
Filed under: uncultured Bacillota bacterium
Lineage: Bacteria; Bacillati; Bacillota
Description: uncultured Firmicutes bacterium partial 16S ribosomal RNA
Rfam family: Bacterial small subunit ribosomal RNA
Source: RNAcentral